This 1009-nucleotide ribosomal RNA is filed under the name Paraburkholderia tropica. RNAcentral's name for it is "bacterial SSU rRNA". It matches the Rfam family "Bacterial small subunit ribosomal RNA", at positions 60 to 1061 of the family's 1533-position model. The record is from RNAcentral. Lineage: Bacteria; Pseudomonadati; Pseudomonadota; Betaproteobacteria; Burkholderiales; Burkholderiaceae.
AGUCGAACGGCAGCACGGGUGCUUGCACCUGGUGGCGAGUGGCGAACGGGUGAGUAAUACAUCGGAACGUGUCCUGUAGUGGGGGAUAGCCCGGCGAAAGCCGGAUUAAUACCGCAUACGAUCUACGGAUGAAAGCGGGGGAUCUUCGGACCUCGCGCUAUAGGGGCGGCCGAUGGCGGAUUAGCUAGUUGGUGGGGUAAAGGCCUACCAAGGCGACGAUCCGUAGCUGGUCUGAGAGGACGACCAGCCACACUGGGACUGAGACACGGCCCAGACUCCUACGGGAGGCAGCAGUGGGGAAUUUUGGACAAUGGGCGAAAGCCUGAUCCAGCAAUGCCGCGUGUGUGAAGAAGGCCUUCGGGUUGUAAAGCACUUUUGUCCGGAAAGAAAUCCYUGRUCCUAAUAUGGUCGGGGGAUGACGGUACCGGAAGAAUAAGCACCGGCUAACUACGUGCCAGCAGCCGCGGUAAUACGUAGGGUGCAAGCGUUAAUCGGAAUUACUGGGCGUAAAGCGUGCGCAGGCGGUGAUGUAAGACCGAUGUGAAAUCCCCGGGCUCAACCUGGGAACUGCAUUGGUGACUGCAUCGCUUGAGUAUGGCAGAGGGGGGUAGAAUUCCACGUGUAGCAGUGAAAUGCGUAGAGAUGUGGAGGAAUACCGAUGGCGAAGGCAGCCCCCUGGGUCAAUACUGACGCUCAUGCACGAAAGCGUGGGGAGCAAACAGGAUUAGAUACCCUGGUAGUCCACGCCCUAAACGAUGUCAACUGGUUGUCGGGUCUUCAUUGACUUGGUAACGUAGCUAACGCGUGAAGUUGACCGCCUGGGGAGUACGGUCGCAAGAUUAAAACUCAAAGGAAUUGACGGGGACCCGCACAAGCGGUGGAUGAUGUGGAUUAAUUCGAUGCAACGCGAAAAACCUUACCUACCCUUGACAUGUAUGGAAGUCCGCUGAGAGGUGGAUGUGCCCGAAAGGGAGCCAUAACACAGGUGCUGCAUGGCUGUCGUCAGCUC